AGCGGGGCCUGAUGGGCCCUGGCAGCCAGCAAUGGUUCUCUGCACGCCUCUUUGUAGUGUGCACCCAAGUAUUACAAGCCUGGGCCCAAUACAAAUAAAUAAUUAAGUGCAUUUCCUGGGGCAAGAAAACGAAGACUUGGAGCUGUGGGAAGAAUGAAUAACCUGGAUCCUCCCCAGGAUUUCCCUUUUUGCUUCUCCCUGGGAUCCUGGAGAAGACACAAGCGCUCAGAAGGACACAACUGAUUCAGAAGGGACAGUGGCACAGAGCCUUCAUUUGUAGAGAAGAUAAGGACCAAAAUUGGGCCCUUUGGACAUAUGUGAACCUUGGAGUAACAAACGGGCUGUGUAAUGUCAAAAGGUUGGUACUUCCAUUGUCAGACACACCUGUCUGCCCCCAUUAAAUCCACAGCUUUUCUUGGUGAUCCAAGGAUCCAUGUCUUCUGAAGCUACAAAAGUCUCUGUGGACAACCUGCUUCUGGUCUGAGUGGUCCUGGGUUUGCUACAGAAGAAGCAGAAGAGUUGGCUGUUGAGAUGGGUGUUGUGACUCUAGGUCUCAGAGACACAAAAAAGCAGAACUAAAGUUAAAAAUUCCCACUCUUAUUGAUUUCUGAAGGAUUGUGUCCAUCAGGAAGCUUGGAGCCAUGUUAUCCUGCAGCAGAGUCUGUGUUUUCCUUCACAAAACUAGAUGGAUUUUUUCAGAUCUUUCCCCUUUAUAGGAGGAAGAGAAUGGAAAACACAACAAAAAGAGAAAACAUAACCUGUGUAUUCUAGGUAUAAUUCAUUCAUGAUCCAAGAUGUGAUCCUGAACAAGAGUUAGAGAUGGUACCUGGUGAUAAAAAAACUGUUCCUAGGUCUGGAGACUUGCAGACAAAUAGAAAGAUAUUCCUGUUGAUUUGGACAAAGUCCAUGCAGUGAAAAAAAUCUGCUGAUUUGUUCUUAACUUGUGCAAGAAAACCUCAAAAUAUUACAUGGGUUGCCUUGAUUUGUUAAUGAAUUUUUAUAUGGAAAUCUCAGCUCUUCAUGUGUUUCUGUACAACCCAGAUUUUCCAAAAAUCACCCAUUCUUAAAAAGUCUAAGACAACUCCUAUAUUCUGUCUGAAGCACCUCUUAGAAUUGCCUUCAGGUAGCAGAAAACAAUGAAAAAUUCUUUUGAAAUAGAAAAGCUUAGAUUUUUUGAGAUGUGUUUUAAAUGAACUCUCUGUGUCCCACUGAGGUUCAUUCAUUUCUGCUAUCCAGAUUUCUGGAAGCAAAAUUUAAAGCAUGGCAAAGAGUAACACUCUUGUGGAAGAAGUUGUAGUCAGAAAUAUUAUUUGGACAAUUAGUCAAUGAGAAAAACUCUGCCCUGUAAUCACAUCAAGAUGUUGGGUUCAUUUCUCCUUUGGGAACAUCAAGAGUAAGUUCGGUCAAAUCCCUACAAUUUUCCUGGUUUUAAAUAAGUCUCAUCAAGAAGAGAAUGAAGCAUUUAAAACUUUUAGGCAAGUGCUAUGUCACAAUGCAUGCCCAAACUCUUCCUGGUGUCUGUGGAACUGAAAGAGUACAAACUACCCGAAAGGUGUUCUGGAUACCUUCUGGAGAUGUUCCCACAAACAUUAUCCAAACAGGACCUCCCAUGCCAACCUGUGGCUUAUACACAGUCUAAAAUCCUGAAAGCAUUGCUGUAAGUGGCAACCCACUGUGGGGAUUUGAAGAGAAUCUCAGAACACCCCUGGUGGCUCCAGCCCACAUUCUGUAUGCAAGCUCUGGCUAUAUACAAGGUACCAGAACUUCAGCCACAUGCCUUCCUUCCUUGAGUCACCUUGUAAAUAAAGGACCAGGACAGAUCAUACAAUCACUCCUUCCUUACAGCUUGUGGCAACUGGAAGGGUCUGGACUAGCUUGGAUGUGGCUCUGAGCAACCUGGUCCAGAGGAAGGUGUCCCUGCCCAUGGCAGAGGGUGGGAACUGGAUGAUCUUUAAGGUCCCUUCCAACCCAAUCCAUUCUCUAAUUCUCCCUGUGUGUUUCACGUGCUUUGAAGUCACCCUUCCCAAUUCCUUGCACACUCAAGACAAGGCCUUGAUCUCCAUGGGGCAUGUGCAGCGUUUUCCAUGCAAGUUCCUGCUGAGGCCCCUGAUAAGGAAGUGGAACCUACCUGCCUUCCUGAAUGCAGCCAUGACAAAUCAGCUACCAGUCAAGGAGCCCCCUGAAAUUAGACAGCUCAUGACAUCAAGUUUUGUACCAAUAAUUAAUAAGAAACAUGAACUGUGUCCUUACUAUUCGGAGAAGGAAAAUAGGUGGAAUCAAAGAAGCAGAUUAGACAGGAGGAUGGAGGAACAUCUCCCACAACGGAGACUGCAAAGUCAGUCAGAGGUGACCACAAAUCCCUCUGCUUCCAAGUGGGUAAGGAAGACUCUGGGAAACACAGAGGCAAAGCCCAUUCCAGUGUUUUUAUAGAGUAUUGGAGCCUGAAGCAGAUAUUCUCCCACUUUAUCUUCUGGAGACACAGCAACAACCUGAACCGAGUCCCAUCUCUUGUUGUACAGGGAGAAAAAUGCGAGAAAAUAUGUCAUUCCAGAGUGCUGUGGCAGCAUUAAACUACAGCUUCACACCCCAUAUAUUGCCUUUUUAAACCACAAUCUUGCAGAGAGUGUUAAGUGUUACUGAAGAUGCACAAAACUGCAAUUUGUUCUCCAAAAGGUUUAGAGGCUGUUAAAAGAGGAGCCAAGAAGGAAAGGGGAUGUAUCCCAGUCUCCUCUUCUCUGAGAAAAACACUCUGUAAGGUGAUGAUUUUUCUACACUAUCCCACAGACUCUUCUGGGUUUUGUUUCUGAAAUGCUCAGAAAGUUUUUCUGAGCAAAACCACUACCAGAAAUCCUGCCGUCCAUUUUGGAGGAAGUAUGUUGUUUUCAAAACAAUUUGCCACUCACUGUGUCUGUUCUGGCACGACCAAGAGUAGCUUCAUGAUGGCCGAGAUGGCAAACAGGAAAUAUUUGUAAUAAAUCAAAUUUGUUCUGGAAAGUUUAUUUUUUGGAGUUUAUUUGCCCAAAAAGAUUAUAGAGAGAACUUUGUGUCUUUACAGAUGGAGUUCUCCUGUGCUCCAGACUGUUUUCAAUAAGUAUUACAAAUACCCUGGUGUUUUAAAGUAUACAAACUUAUUUCUAUGAACUUCUUUUCCACCCUCUAGUACUUUUCAUGGGCCCUGUUUAUUACAUCCCAAAUAAUGCUACAGCCUUGAAAUCUCUAACCCACAAACCAAUAUUUACAAGCGUUGAUUCGGAGAUUGAUAUUUUCAUGCAUAUUCUAGCACUGAAGGCAGCACACUGAGGAGGGAUAAACCAACUUCAUUAUAAUCUUAUAAUACUUACUGCCUCGAGUUAUGUGCUUUUUACAUUCAGAAGUGAAAAUAAAGCUUGAAAAAAUACCCCAAAACACUGAAAAUUAGGGGAAGAAACAGACGAACGGAGGACAAUUUUAAAUAAGCUAUAAUUAAUUUUUGAAAGCCUUUUCUUACUUUGUCAGGAUUGAAAAGAAGCUUUACCUAUAUGGAAUUACAUAUUUUACACAAAAAGAAAACAUUAAAUUAUUAUAAAAUACAUUUUCCCCAGGAGGUGAUGGUGGUGGGCUGGCUAGCCCUUCUACGGACAGCUCCUGUCUGAUGGCAAAGAAGGGCUCACCUAAAAAUGAACAGCACAUUUCUAAACCUGCCCUCUCAUGGCUCCCAUUUCAGCUUAGUGGCUGCAAUUAGCAAUUAAACAGGAGAAACAAAUGCCUGUAUUUUGUUGCAAGAGGGUUAGUUUAAUUUCUGACCUGGAAAUGACAGCGCAGACACACAAGGAGCAAAAAGUCAUGUAACACCAGGAGGAAAACACACAACAUA
Long non-coding RNA from Passer domesticus (house sparrow), 3853 nucleotides. RefSeq lists it as uncharacterized. Lineage: Eukaryota; Metazoa; Chordata; Aves; Passeriformes; Passeridae. The record is from RefSeq and is a predicted model, not a curated record. The transcript has 7 exons.